UACAGAGGUCUCAAGCGUUGUUCGGAUUCAUUGGGCGUAAAGGGUGCGUAGGCGGUCUGUUGCGUCCGCUGUGAAAACUCGGGGCUUAACCCCGAGCCUGCAGUGGAUACGGGCAGACUAGAGGUAGGUAGGGGAGAAUGGAAUUCCCGGUGUAGCGGUGAAAUGCGCAGAUAUCAGGAGGAACACCCGUGGCGAAAGCGGCUCUCUGGGACGGUACUGACGCUGAGACGCGAAAGCGUGGGGAGCAAACAGG
Molecule: ribosomal RNA, 253 nt
Filed under: uncultured bacterium
Lineage: Bacteria
Description: partial 16S ribosomal RNA
Rfam family: Bacterial small subunit ribosomal RNA
Source: RNAcentral